AUGAGACAAAUGGUCAUGAUCCUUCUGAUGGAAAAACUUUCCAUUCCAGUAAAAAUAUCUAAGAAUUGGUCAUGGUUACUUGCAUUUAGUGUCAUAACCAGACUGCAGCUGAGCCAGUACGCUACCAUCCCUUGGAACUCCACGACUGCAGUGCCCUCCUGCCGACUUCCGGGUUUCCGACUGCUGGACGCUGCAUCUAC
RNAcentral lists this long non-coding RNA (200 nucleotides) under Macaca mulatta (Rhesus monkey). RNAcentral describes it as "lncRNA (ENSMMUG00000057244.1)". The record is from RNAcentral. Lineage: Eukaryota; Metazoa; Chordata; Mammalia; Primates; Cercopithecidae.